Molecule: ribosomal RNA, 417 nt
Filed under: uncultured bacterium
Lineage: Bacteria
Description: bacterial SSU rRNA
Rfam family: Bacterial small subunit ribosomal RNA
Source: RNAcentral
UAACAGGAUUAGAUACCCUGGUAGUCCAUGCCGUAAACGUUGGGCACUAGGUGUGGGGGACAUUCCACGUUUUCCGCGCCGUAGCUCACGCAUUAAGUGCCCCGCCUGGGGAGUACGGCCGCAAGGCUAAAACUCAAAGAAAUUGACGGGGGCCCGCACAAGCGGCGGAGCAUGCGGAUUAAUUCGAUGCAACGCGAAGAACCUUACCAAGGCUUGACAUGAACCGGAAAGGCGUAGAAAUACGUCCCCCACUUGUGGUCGGUUUACAGGUGGUGCAUGGUUGUCGUCAGCUCGUGUCGUGAGAUGUUGGGUUAAGUCCCGCAACGAGCGCAACCCUCGUUCUAUGUUGCCAGCACGUGAUGGUGGGGACUCAUAGGAGACUGCCGGGGUCAACUCGGAGGAAGGUGGGGAUGACGU